AAUAAAUGUAACACUCGUCCUUUAGCAAAGCAGACUCGUCUGCCCUUUCCUACAAGUUCUAUAUCUACAAAAAGUUCUUUUGAAAUCUUACAUGUGAUGUUUGGGGACCACAUAAAGUCCCUACACAUUCAGGGGCGAGAUUUUUCCUUAGCAUUGUUGAUGACUACACUCGUUGUUCUUGGGUCUUUUUAAUGCACAAUAAAUCUGAAACAACAUCUUUGUUACAACGAUUUGUGGUUUUUGUUCAAAAUCAAUUUCAUAAAUCAAUUAAAAUACUUCGUACAGACAAUGGUACUGAGUUUCUUCCCAUAAUUUCUUUUCUACAAAAAAAUGAUAUUGAGUUUCAAAAUACAUGUGUCUAUACUCCACAGCAGAACGGAGUCGUUGAACGAAAACAUCGUCACAUCUUAAAUGUUGCUCGCUCCUUACUUUUUCAAUCAAAUGUGCCACUUCAUUUUUGGGGAGAAUGUGUUUUAACAGCUGUAUAUUUAAUCAAUCGGCUUCCUUCACCCUUACUCUCUAAUCAGUCCCCUUAUGAAAAAUUAUACCAAAAGCCACCUCCUCUUCAACAUCUCCGUGUGUUUGGGUGUGAGUGCUAUGCCACUAUUGUCCAACCUAAGCAAAAAUUUUCUCCCCGAGCUACACGCUGUGUUUUUCUUGGCUACCCACAUCAUCAAAAGGGAUAUAAAUUACUUGAUCUUGUCUCUAAUCAAAUUAUUAUCAGCCAAGAUGUUACCUUUAAUGAGAAUAUCUUCCCAUUCAUGACUUCUGAAUUACAUUACUCUUCUAGAACUGAUUCACCAUUAUCCUCACCUCCACCAUUAUUGCCAAAUCUUGCCAUAGAUCCUGCCACCUUACCAAAAAUAAAUUCUGAUCCUUCCUCAACAAAUUUAGAUGAUACCUUCCAUAAUAAUAUCGAUUCCUCCAUUCACAGUCCAUCACCAAAUCCUUCUGCACCUAUCGAAGCCCAGCCACUCAUUGAUCAACCCAAUAUAUCACCACCUGAUCCUCCACGCCGUUCCACUCGAGAUAAACAUCCUCCUGCAUGGCAUGAUUCUUACAUUCUGUCUACUCAAACCAAUGAUCCUACUGGUAAAAGGGUUUCACAAACAGGUACAAGGUAUCCACUCUCAUCUUUCCUUUCUUUUAAUCGUUUCUCUUCCUCUCAUAAACAUUUUCUGGCAAGCAUUUCUACUCAUACAGAACCACAGACAUAUGAUCAGGCCGCCGGUCAUCCCCAAUGGGAGAAGGCUAUGACUGCUGAACUUGAAGCAUUAGAACGGAAUCACACUUGGUCAUUGGUUCCUUUACCUCAUGGUAUUAAGCCUAUUGGAUGUCAUUGGGUUUAUAAAAUUAAAUAUAAUUCUGAUGGAACUAUUGAACGCUAUAAAGCUCGAUUAGUCGCUAAGGGCUAUACACAGGUUGAAGGGAUCGAUUACAAGGAAACCUUUUCCCCAACUGCUAAGCUCACCACUUUGAGAUGUCUUUUGACUGUUGCUGCUGCCAGAAACUGGUUUACCUAUCAAUUAGAUGUGCAGAAUGCAUUUUCACAUGGUAAAUUAAAUGAAGUGGUAUAUAUGCAACCGCCACCUGGAUUGCGCCGACAGGGGGAGAACACAGUGUGUCGGCUUCAUAAGUCCCUCUAUGGUUUAAAACAGGCCUCCAGAAAUUGGUUCUCUACAUUAUCCAAUGUUCUACAAGAAGGUGGCUAUACACAAUCUAAAGCUGACUAUUCCUUAUUCACCAAAGUUAAUGCAUCAUCUAUUACUGUUAUUCUCAUAUAUGUUGAUGACAUAUUAUUGACAGGGAAUGAUGAACAGGAAAUUAAUCGCCUCAAAUCAUAUUUACUUCAGCACUUUCAUAUCAAGGAUUUGGGCGACCUCAAAUAUUUUUUGGGGAUUGAGUUUUCCCGUUCCAAUCAAGGCAUUUUUAUGUCACAGAGAAAAUAUGCCUUGGAUGUGCUACACGACGCAGGACUCACAGGUGCUAAACCGGAGAAGUUUCCGAUGGAACAAAAUUGCAAAUUGGAUCUUGAUGACAAUGAAAAAUUACACGAUGCUACCAAAUAUAGAAGGUUAGUUGGCAGAUUAAUUUAUCUAACUGUGACUAGACCGGACAUUGUUUAUUCAGUUCGUGUGUUGAGCCAAUUUAUGCAUGAGCCAUGUAAAUCUCAUUGGAAUGCGGCAAUUCGUGUCCUCAAAUAUGUGAAAGGAAAUCCUGGUCAGGGAUUAUUUUUGCCAUCUAAUAAUAAUUUGCAAUUAAAAGCAUUUUGUGACUCUGAUUGGGGAGGUUGCCGAACAACUCAAAGAUCGGUAUCAGGAUAUUGUAUUUUCCUUGGUCCUUCUCUCAUAUCUUGGAAAUCAAAAAAACAGACAAAUGUUUCUAGAUCAUCUGCUGAAGCAUAAUACCGAGCAAUGGCGAAUACUUGUUUGGAGCUAACUUGGUUAAGGUAUAUCCUUCAUGAUUUAAGAGUAUCACAAGUAGGUCCUUCGCCACUUUACUGUGAUAAUCAAGCAGCACUUCACAUUGCUGCAAAUCCAGUGUUUCAUGAGAGGACAAAGCAUAUUGAGAUAGACUGCCACAUUGUUCGAGAAAAAAUGAUGUCAGGAAUUAUUCGUCCGGCGUAUGUUUCAACUAAGAUGCAAUUGGCAGAUAUUUUUACUAAGCCCUUAGGCAAAGAAACCUUUGAAUUUUUACGCAGCAAGUUGGGAGUGUUAGAUCUCCACUUACCAACUUGAGGGGGAGUAUUGGAAAAGAUAUUUGUUACCCUUUAUGUAAUUAUCUUUACCUAAAUUAGCUGCUGUAUAAAUAUAGUAAUAAGCUUUAUAUUAGCCUAUAAUAAGGGAGUAGUUAGUGCUGUAAAUGUAUUGAUUAGUGCAGUCUCUGUGUAUAAAUUAUGUACAUCACGUUUGAAGAAUAUAUACAAUUUUCUUUCCUAUCAUUUCUAUCUUAUUUGACAUGGUAUCAGAGCGCCGAUCUUGGUACUCUGUAUAAAAUUGUUCACCUUCUUCCGCUCGUUUUUCAAUGUCAAAAGAAGUUUCAGACCAAUCCAAAUCAGACAUUAUGGAUCCAUCACAUCCAUAUUACAUCCACCAUUCUGAUCAACCAGGACACUUGUUGGUUCCAACUAAGUUGAACGGAACAAAUUAUCAAUCCUGGUAUAAAAGUAUGACGCAUGCUCUCAUUGCCAAAAAAAAAUUGGGUUUCAUUGAUGGAUCUAUCAAAAUGACAUCAUCCACGGAACAGCCAACCGAAUUUGAAAAAUGGAACCAAUGUAACAGCAUGAUACUCUCAUGGAUAUCUCAUUCAGUCGAACCUGAUAUAGCAUCCGGCCUCAUGAAUGCCGAGACAGCCAAACAAGUGUGGGAUGAUCUUCGGGAUCAGUUUUCUCAGAAGAAUGCUGCUGCUAUAUUCCAAAUCCAAAAAGCAAUAGCAACAAUCACUCAGGGUACAAUGUCCGUGGCAGCCUACUACAUCAAAAUCAAAGCUUUGUGGGAUGAAUUAGAGAUUCAUCGUACACCAGUGACUUGCAAUCGCACCAAUGAUCACCAGACCGAAAGAGAGGAGGAUAAAUUGAUGCAAUUUCUCAUGGGGCUCAGUGAUCCUUACAAGAUUGUGAAAUCCAACAUAUUGCUGAUGAAACCAUUACCCAACGUUCGUCAAGCAUACUCCAUGAUCAUUCAAGAAGAAACCCAGCAACAGAUUGGUCCAAGCAUCACUGAGAAUUUCUCUGUAGCAGCUGCCGUUCAGAGUCGGUCAGUCACACAAAAAGGUGCUAAAGAAAAAUUUUGUGAACACUGCAACAGGUCAGGCCAUAAUAUUGAUGAGUGUCGCAAGUUAAAAUAUCAUUGCAAAUUUUGUGACAAUAGUGGGCACACAGAAGAUCGUUGUCGACUCAAAAAGGCUAACCAAAAUGCUAGAUCCAUACAAUCUAGCAACAAUCGAACUGGGGGACGUUCAGCCAAUGCUGUUGAAACAACAAUUGGGGGAGACAAUAGUACAGAAAGCUCCGGAUUUCCAGUUAAUUUUACCAAUGAACAAUUGCAAAAAUUAGCACAGGCUUUGACGAUGAUUAAUCAAAAUAAAAAUUCUGGCAAUGGAGAUAUAUUCGCUAAUGCAGCAGGUAUAAUCUCUCCAUUUAAUGCUUUUUCAAAUUCAGUUGUUAAGCCUUGGAUUCUGGACAGCGGGGCUACUGAUCAUAUCACCUCUGAUCCUUCUCUUCUCACACAAAUUCAGCUUCCUUCUGUUCCUCUUGUUAAUUUGCCAAUUGGUGCCACUGCCAACAUUACACAUACUGGCACAAUGUCUUUUAAUUCUCAACUAGUUUUAAAAAAUGUGUUGUGUGUUCCCUCAUUCAAAUUGAAUCUAAUGUCUGCCAGUAAAAUCACUAAUGCACUCAAUUGUUGUGUUAUUCUUUUUCCAAAUUUCUGUGUUUUACAGGACCUGGCUACGGGGAAGAUGAUUGGCUCGGGUAGACAGAAUGGCGGACUCUACUACAUACAUCCUUCAACCCCUUCACCAGCUGCAUAUCACACAUCUCAGUCUUCUUAUCUAUGGCAUUUGCGAAUGGGUCACCCAUCCUCAUCACGACUUGCACCCAUUCUAUCUUUUUUAAAACUUUCCAGCAAUAUUGAUAAUAAAUGUAACACUU
This 4651-nucleotide unclassified non-coding RNA is filed under the name Hevea brasiliensis (rubber tree). The record is from RNAcentral. Lineage: Eukaryota; Viridiplantae; Streptophyta; Magnoliopsida; Malpighiales; Euphorbiaceae.